UGGUGAGUAACGCGUGGGCGACCUUCCCCGGGGAUGGGGACAGCCGUUGGAAACAGCGGGUAAUACCGAAUACGUUCGCGUUAUUAAGGUAACGCGAGGAAAGGGGCUUCGGCCCCGCCCCGGGAUGGGCCCGCGUCCCAUUGCUAGUUGGUGUGGUAAGAGCGCACCAAGGCGAAGAUGGGUAGCCGGCCUGAGAGGGCGAACGGCCACACUGGGACUGAGAUACGGCCCAGACUCCUACGGGAGGCAGCAGCUAAGAAUAUUCCGCAAUGGACGAAAGUCUGACGGAGCGACGCCGCGUGGAUGACGAAGGCCGAAAGGUUGUAAAAUCCUUUUGCGGGCGAAGAAGAAGGGCUGGAGGGAAUGCCAGUCCGGUGACGCCGGCCCGCGAAUAAGCCCCGGCUAAUUACGUGCCAGCAGCCGCGGUAACACGUAAGGGGCGAGCGUUGUUCGGAAUUAUUGGGCGUAAAGGGCGCGUAGGCGGCCGCGUAAGUCUGAUGUGAAAACCCCGGGCUCAACCCGGGAACUGCAUUGGAAACUGCGCGGCUGGAGUGACGGAGGGGAAGCCGGAAUUCCUGGUGUAGGGGUGAAAUCUGUAGAUAUCAGGAAGAACACCGAUGGCGAAGGCAGGCUUCCAGCCGAUGACUGACGCUGAGGCGCGAAAGUGCGGGGAGCAAACAGGAUUAGAUACCCUGGUAGUCCGCACUGUAAACGAUGCACACUAGGCGUCGGGGCGAGCGUCCCGGUGCCGAAGCGAACGCGGUAAGUGUGCCGCCUGGGGAGUAUGCCCGCAAGGGUGAAACUCAAAGGAAUUGACGGAAUCACUAGUGAA
Molecule: ribosomal RNA, 832 nt
Filed under: uncultured bacterium
Lineage: Bacteria
Description: bacterial SSU rRNA
Rfam family: Bacterial small subunit ribosomal RNA
Source: RNAcentral